UGACUGAUCCGAACGGUCGCGCGGUAUGGCGCCGAAAGGUAUUACCGUGAGGAAAGUCCGGGCUUCACAGGGCAAGGAUAACGGAUAACGUCCGCCGAAGGCGACUUCAGGGAAAGUGCAGCAGAAAUAAACCGCCGCGCAAGCGGCAAGGAUGAAAAGGCGAGGCAAGAGCUCACCGUCCCGUCGGUGACGACGGGAGCCAUGUAAACCCUAUCCGAAGCAACGUCCCGCGUUUACGGUCUGCCCGGCCGAGCUUACGCUGACGCGAGACGGCAGUCGGAAUAUCCGACGAGCCGCUUGGCAACAAACGGCAAAGAUAGAUGACCGUUCUCGACAGAACCCGGCUUACAGGAUCAGUCAGUUA
RNAcentral lists this RNase P RNA (364 nucleotides) under Clostridia bacterium. RNAcentral's name for it is "RNase P RNA component class A". It matches the Rfam family "Bacterial RNase P class A". From Rfam's summary of the family: Ribonuclease P (RNase P) is a ubiquitous endoribonuclease, found in archaea, bacteria and eukarya as well as chloroplasts and mitochondria. Its best characterised activity is the generation of mature 5'-ends of tRNAs by cleaving the 5'-leader elements of precursor-tRNAs. The record is from RNAcentral. Lineage: Bacteria; Bacillati; Bacillota; Clostridia.